This 468-nucleotide ribosomal RNA is filed under the name uncultured bacterium. RNAcentral's name for it is "partial 16S ribosomal RNA". It matches the Rfam family "Bacterial small subunit ribosomal RNA", at positions 28 to 507 of the family's 1533-position model. The record is from RNAcentral.
GACGAACGCUGGCGACGUGCUUAGCACAUGCAAGUCGAACGGAAAGGCCCUGCUUUUGUGGGGUGCUCGAGUGGCGAACGGGUGAGUAACACGUGAGUAACCUGCCCUUGACUUUGGGAUAACUUCAGGAAACUGGGGCUAAUACCGGAUAGGAGCUCCUGCUGCAUGGUGGGGGUUGGAAAGUUUCGGCGGUUGGGGAUGGACUCGCGGCUUAUCAGCUUGUUGGUGGGGUAGUGGCUUACCAAGGCUUUGACGGGUAGCCGGCCUGAGAGGGUGACCGGCCACAUUGGGACUGAGAUACGGCCCAGACUCCUACGGGAGGCAGCAGUGGGGAAUAUUGCACAAUGGGCGGAAGCCUGAUGCAGCAACGCCGCGUGCGGGAUGACGGCCUUCGGGUUGUAAACCGCUUUCGCCUGUGACGAAGCGUGAGUGACGGUAAUGGGUAAAGAAGCACCGGCUAACUACGUG